This 164-nucleotide ribosomal RNA is filed under the name Lotus simonae. Its description in RNAcentral is "5.8S ribosomal RNA". It matches the Rfam family "5.8S ribosomal RNA". Rfam says of the family: 5.8S ribosomal RNA (5.8S rRNA) is a component of the large subunit of the eukaryotic ribosome. Lineage: Eukaryota; Viridiplantae; Streptophyta; Magnoliopsida; Fabales; Fabaceae. The record is from RNAcentral.
UAAAUGACUCUCGGCAACGGAUAUCUCGGCUCUCGCAUCGAUGAAGAACGUAGCGAAAUGCGAUACUUGGUGUGAAUUGCAGAAUCCCGUGAACCAUCGAGUCUUUGAACGCAAGUUGCGCCCGAAACCAUUAGGUUGAGGGCACGUCUGCCUGGGUGUCACAC